Molecule: ribosomal RNA, 253 nt
Filed under: uncultured bacterium
Lineage: Bacteria
Description: partial 16S ribosomal RNA
Rfam family: Bacterial small subunit ribosomal RNA
Source: RNAcentral
UACAGAGGGUGCGAGCGUUGUCCGGAAUCACUGGGCGUAAAGGGCGCGUAGGUGGCGCUGCAAGUCGGUGGUGAAAGCUCGCCGCUUAACGGCGAGUCGGCCAUCGAAACUGCAGGGCUCGAGCACUGUAGGGGCUAAUGGAAUUCCGGGUGUAGCGGUGGAAUGCGUAGAUAUCAGGAGGAAUACCGGUGGCGAAAGCGACUCUCUGGACGACAACUGACGCUGAGGCACGAAAGCGUGGGGAGCAAACAGG